GAUGAACGCUGGCGGCGUGCCUAAUACAUGCAAGUCGAGCGAACAGACGAGGAGCUUGCUCCUCUGACGUUAGCGGCGGACGGGUGAGUAACACGUGGAUAACCUACCUAUAAGACUGGGAUAACUUCGGGAAACCGGAGCUAAUACCGGAUAAUCUAUUGAACCGCAUGGUUCAAUAGUGAAAGACGGUUUUGCUGUCACUUAUCGAUGGAUCCGCGCCGCAUUAGCUAGUUGGUAAGGUAACGGCUUACCAAGGCAACGAUGCGUAGCCGACCUGAGAGGGUGAUCGGCCACACUGGAACUGAGACACGGGCCAGACUCCUACGGGAGGCAGCAGUAGGGAAUCGUCCGCAAUGGGCGAAAGCCUGACGGAACAACGCCGCGUGAGUGAUGAAGGUCUUCGGAUCGUAAAACGCUGUUAUUAGGGAAGAACAAAUGUGUAAGUAACUAUGCACGUCUUGACGGUACCUAAUCAGAAAGCCACGGCUAACUACGUG
This 497-nucleotide ribosomal RNA is filed under the name uncultured bacterium. RNAcentral describes it as "partial 16S ribosomal RNA". It matches the Rfam family "Bacterial small subunit ribosomal RNA", at positions 28 to 507 of the family's 1533-position model. The record is from RNAcentral.